RNAcentral lists this small RNA (970 nucleotides) under Arabidopsis thaliana (thale cress). RNAcentral's name for it is "ATSL162330". Lineage: Eukaryota; Viridiplantae; Streptophyta; Magnoliopsida; Brassicales; Brassicaceae. The record is from RNAcentral.
AAGCUUUGAGAAGCAAGAAGAAGGUUGGUUAGUGUUUUAAAGUCGAAUAUGACUUGAUGUCAUGUGUAUGAUUGAGUAUAAGAACUUAAACCGCAACCGGAUCUUAAAGGCGUAAGAAUUGUAUCCUUAUUAGAAGACACAAAGCCAAAGACUCAUAUGGACUUUGGCUACACCAUGAAAGCUUUGAGAAGCAAGAAGAAGGUUGGUUAGUGUUUUAAAGUCAAAUAUGACUUGAUGUCAUGUGUACGAUUGAGUAUAAGAACUUAAACCGCAACCGGAUCUUAAAGGCGUAAGAAUUGUGUCCUUGUUAGAAGACACAAAGCCAAAGACUCAUGUGGACUUUGGCUACACCAUAAAAGCUUUGAGAAGCAAGAAGAAGGUUGGUUAGUGUUUUAAAGUCGAAUAUGACUUGAUGUCAUGUGUAUCAUUGAGUAUAAGAACUUAAACCGCAACCAGAUCUUAAAGGCGUAAGAGAUGUAUCCUUGUUAGAAGACACAAAGCCAAAUACUCAUAUGGACUUUGGCUACACCAUGAAAGCUUUGAGAAGCAAGAAGAAGGUUGGUUAGUGUUUUGGAGUCGAAUAUGACUUGAUGUCAUGUGUAUGAUUGAGUAUAACAACUUAAACCGCAACCCGAUCUUGUAAGCCUAAGUAGUGUAUCGUUGUUAGAAGACACAAAGCCAAAGACUCAUAUGGACUGUGGCUACACCAUGAAAGCUUUGAGAAGCAAGAAGAAGGUUGGUUAGUGUUUUGGAGUCGAAUAUGACUUGAUGUCAUGUGUAUGAUUGAGUAUAAGAACUUAAACCGCAACCUGAUCUAUAAGCCUAAGUAGUGUAUCCUUGUUAGAAGACACAAAGCCAAAGACUCAUAUUGACUUUGGCUACACCAUGAAAACUUUGAGAAGCAAGAAGAAGGUCGGUUAGUGUUUUGGAGUCGAAUAUGACUCGAUGUCAUGUGUAUGAUUGAGUAUAA